RNAcentral lists this ribosomal RNA (431 nucleotides) under uncultured bacterium. Its description in RNAcentral is "bacterial SSU rRNA". It matches the Rfam family "Bacterial small subunit ribosomal RNA", at positions 34 to 507 of the family's 1533-position model. The record is from RNAcentral.
CGCUGGCGGUGUGCUUCACACAUGCAAGUCGAACGAGGUAGCAAUACCUAGUGGCGGACGGGUGAGUAACGCGUGGGAAUCUGCCUUUAGAUGGGGGAUAACGGGUCGAAAGACUCGCUAAUACCGCAUAUGACGAAAGUUAAAAGGAGUAAUCCGUCUAAAGAUGAGCCCGCGUCCGAUUAGCUAGUUGGUAGAGUAAAAGCCUACCAAGGCGACGAUCGGUAGCUGGUCUGAGAGGAUGAUCAGCCACAAUGGGACUGAGACACGGCCCAUACUCCUACGGGAGGCAGCAGUGGGGAAUUUUACGCAAUGGGCGAAAGCCUGACGUAGCGACACCGCGUGAGCGAAGAAGCCCCUUGGGGUGUAAAGCUCUGUCAGCUGGAACGAAAAAAAUGACGGUACCAGCAGAGGAAGCAUCGGCUAACUACGUG